CUGCAGUGAUGACUAUCUUAGGACACCUUUGGAUUUAUCAUGAAAACACCAGUUCACUCUGAGCAGU
Eublepharis macularius is the source of this 67-nucleotide small nucleolar RNA. RefSeq annotates it as small nucleolar RNA SNORD58. The record is from RefSeq and is a predicted model, not a curated record. The transcript has a single exon. Lineage: Eukaryota; Metazoa; Chordata; Lepidosauria; Squamata; Eublepharidae.